GUGAGGAAUAUUGGUCAAUGGGCGAGAGCCUGAACCAGCCAAGUCGCGUGAAGGAAGAAGGAUCUAUGGUUCGUAAACUUCUUUUGCAGGGGAAUAAAGUGCAGGACGUGUCCUGUUUUGUAUGUACCCUGAGAAUAAGGAUCGGCUAACUCCGUGCCAGCAGCCGCGGUAAUACGGAGGAUCCGAGCGUUAUCCGGAUUUAUUGGGUUUAAAGGGUGCGUAGGUGGUUUGAUAAGUCAGCGGUGAAAGUUUGCAGCUGAACUGUAAAAAUGCCGUUGAAACUGUCGGACUUGAGUGUAAAUGAGGUAGGCGGAAUGCGUGGUGUAGCGGUGAAAUGCAUAGAUAUCACGCAGAACUCCGAUUGCGAAGGCAGCUUACUAAGCUACAACUGACACUGAAGCACGAAAGCGUGGGGAUCAAACAGGAUUAGAUACCCGGGUAGUCC
Molecule: ribosomal RNA, 445 nt
Filed under: uncultured bacterium
Lineage: Bacteria
Description: partial 16S ribosomal RNA
Rfam family: Bacterial small subunit ribosomal RNA
Source: RNAcentral